Molecule: long non-coding RNA, 703 nt
Organism: Lactuca sativa (garden lettuce)
Lineage: Eukaryota; Viridiplantae; Streptophyta; Magnoliopsida; Asterales; Asteraceae
Source: RefSeq, a predicted model, not a curated record
UUAGGGAUAUUUGUUUUACGACUCAGAGUAUGAGAAUGAGGCAGUGAGAGGAACAAGGGUUUCUGAGGGUGGUUGCCGCCUCUCCAUGCCGAUGAUUUCCAUUGUUUUCUUUCAAACUCCAACAACCCUCUGAUAUAUAUAUGUAUAUAUUUAUAUAUAUUCGUAUGUAUGUAUGUGUAUGUAUAUAUAGAGAGAGACAGAGAAAGAUCGUUGAAGUUAUGACAUGCAAUUCCCCAUCCAAACACCCCUAAACCCAGAGGCUAUGAUGAUUAAAAGUGAUCUGAGUCAAAUCGGGACAUGAUUUGAGAUUAUCCGCAGCUUGGCAGGGCAUAUAAUCGGAGGACGGCGAUUGUGAGAAUGCAACCUCUGUAUUUGCAGCCAUGGCGGUUUAAUCCUCUUGUUCCGAUCGUAAAACAGAUCUGAGCCUCCGAUAAAUACACACUUCAAACUCCAAAAUACGUUUGUCUCUACAACAAAGAACAGAAUGUCAGGUUAGUUUUCAUACUUUUUUGAUUAAUCAUUCCCUGUGUUUUUAUUGUUUAUGCAUGAUGUAUGUUAAGUGUGUGUUGUCUAUUGUGAUGUGUUUUCAAAACAAAAUUAUUGCAUAAUGUAUGUUUGGUGUUUGUGUUGUGUUGUGCAUUGAAAGCUUUAUUUUUUUCGGAUUAUUUUUAAAAAUUCAUUAAUAGCAUCGUACUUUUAAAAA